UUCAUCUAUCACCACCAACCCAUCAUCAAUAUUGAAUAAAUUCAUAAAUUAUGAAAGUUACCAUGCUAGAACUAGUAACAAGAAUAGAACUUCUCCAAAGUGUAAACAUGAAACAAAACGGACAACCCAUUGUUAAUUAACGAAUCUGAGCCAGCUAUAGUAAAUUUCUAGAAAACCCUAUAUAUAUCAUCGUCAACCUUAACCCAAAAGCCCUCCUGGAAAGAUUAAAAGGAAGAGAAGGAACUCGGCAAAUUUUAACCCCGCCUGUUUACCAAAAACAUCGCCUCUUGCUUAAACAUAAGAGGUCUAGCCUGCCCAGUGUUUCAAUCAACGGCCGCGUGAUUUAAGCGCGCAAAGGUAGCGUAAUAAUUCGUUCUUUAAAUGAGGACUUGUAUCAAUGGCAUCACGAGGGUUAUACUGUCUCCUCUCCCCAAUCAGUGAAACUAAUCUCCCUGUGAAAAAGCAGGGAUAAACCUAUAAGACGAGAAGACCCCAUGGAGCUUAAAACACGGCAACAACCCUAAUAGUAUUAUCAAUGUAAUUUUAAGCCCUGUAUGCCUGUUUUAGGUUGGGGUGACCGCGGAGCAAAACAAAGCCUCCACAACGAAAGGGAUUACCCCCUUAUCCCAGAUGUACUCCUCCAGAAUUAUUAAAAUAACGUCUAAUGAUCCGACUAUCGACCAACGGACCAAGUUACCCUGGGGAUAACAGCGCAAUCCACUUUGAGAGCCCCUAUCGACAAGUGGGCUUACGAACCUCGAUGUUGGAUCAGAUAUCCCAGUGGUGCAGCCGCUACUAA
RNAcentral lists this ribosomal RNA (799 nucleotides) under Occidozyga cf. laevis KU 307541. Its description in RNAcentral is "partial large subunit ribosomal RNA". It matches the Rfam family "Bacterial large subunit ribosomal RNA", at positions 1542 to 2568 of the family's 2925-position model. Lineage: Eukaryota; Metazoa; Chordata; Amphibia; Anura; Dicroglossidae. The record is from RNAcentral.